This 5066-nucleotide long non-coding RNA is filed under the name Lathyrus oleraceus (garden pea). RNAcentral's name for it is "Pisum sativum (pea) long non-coding RNA (PSAT_LNC039868)". The record is from RNAcentral. Lineage: Eukaryota; Viridiplantae; Streptophyta; Magnoliopsida; Fabales; Fabaceae.
UGUUAAUUGUUUAAUUAUCAGAAUAUAGAAGAUGACAUUUUAUGUUCUUUAGGAUAUAAGUAUAUAUUUAAUUAAUUUUGAUGUUCAAUACAUAUCUUUCUAAAUUAAUAAAUGUCAUGGUUUGUUACUCAUUAAAUGUUUGAAUGAUUUAUAUAAUUGAGGAUUUACUUAAUAUAAAUAUUUAGCUUGCAAUAUUUAAUAGAAAUCUCUGGUACAUAACCACUUUAUGAUUGUAUAAACAAAAUAAGAAGGGUAAAAAAAUACGUACUGCUGAAAAAUUGUCAUAUUUUCCUUUUUUUUCUAUCUUUUAUGAGUAAUUUUCUAUCUUAUCUUUCAAAUGUACAGAAUAAUUGAUUUCUGAUAUAGGUUAAUCUUUUGAAGGUUACACAUCUCUAACUUGCUUAUUUUGUCACUCUAUUCAUCUGUGUUUCCUCUUAUUGUCAAUUUUAUUCUUGCAUCACCAAUGAUUAUGAUAGUGUUUUUCGUAUUGUUUUGAUGAGAUUGAGAUGUUUGUUAGGAUUAUGAGGAUCUCACAAUAAUAAAGUUGGUGCUAAUGUAACACUAGAAAAAUGAUUGGGUUGGUUUCCUUUAAUACAUACGGUCUCAUUUUCAUUGUCUUGUAAUUAUUCUAUUUUCUUUUUUUCUUUUUCAUUUUCUUGUAAUUAUUCUUUUUUCUUUUUUUCUUUUUCAUUUUCUACUUAUAAUUAGUAUUUUAGCAUAUUUUUUAAGCUAUAUAACUUAUGUUAAUCGUUUAAUUAUCAGAAUAUAGAAGAUGACAUUUUAUGUUCUUUAGGAUAUAAGUAUAUAUUUAAUUAAUUUUGAUGUUCAAUACAUAUCUUUCUAAACUAGUUAAUGUCAAGGUUUGUUACUCAAUAAAUGUUUGAUUGAUUUAUAUAAUUGAGGAUUUACUUAAUAUAAUUAUUUAGCUUACAAUAUUUAAUAGAAAUCUCUGGUUCAUAAUCACUUUAUGAUUGUAUAAACAAAAUACAAAGGGUAAAAAAAUACGUACUGCUGAAAAAUUGUCAUAUUUUCCUUUUUUUUCUAUCUUUUAUGAGUAAUUUUCUUUCUUAUCUAUCAAAUGUACGGAACAAUUGAUUUCUGAUAUAGGUUAAUCUUUUGAAGGUUACACAUCUCUAACUUGUUUAUUUUGUCACUCUAUUCAUCUGUGUUUCCUCUUAUUUUCAAUUUUAUUCUUGCAUCACCAAUGAUUAUGAUAGGGUUUUUCGUAUUGUUUUGAUGAGAUUGAGAUGUUUGUUAGGAUUAUGAGGAUCUCACAAUAAUAAAGUUGGUGCUAAUGUAACACUAGAAAAAUGAUUGGGUUGGUUUCCUUUAAUACAUACGGUCUCAUUUUCAUUGUCUUGUAAUUAUUCUAUUUUCUUUUUUUCUUUUUCAUUUUCUUGUAAUUAUUCUUUUUUCUUUUUUUCUUUUUCAUUUUCUACUUAUAAUUAGUAUUUUAGCAUAUUUUUUAAUCUAUAUAACUUAUGUUAAUCGUUUAAUUAUCAGAAUAUAGAAGAUGACAUUUUAUGUUCUUUAGGAUAUAAGUAUAUAUUUAAUUAAUUUUGAUGUUCAAUACAUAUCUUUCUAAACUAGUUAAUGUCAAGGUUUGUUACUCAAUAAAUGUUUGAUUGAUUUAUAUAAUUGAGGAUUUACUUAAUAUAAUUAUUUAGCUUACAAUAUUUAAUAGAAAUCUCUGGUUCAUAAUCACUUUAUGAUUGUAUAAACAAAAUACAAAGGGUAAAAAAAUACGUACUGCUGAAAAAUUGUCAUAUUUUCCUUUUUUUUCUAUCUUUUAUGAGUAAUUUUCUUUCUUAUCUAUCAAAUGUACGGAACAAUUGAUUUCUGAUAUAGGUUAAUCUUUUGAAGGUUACACAUCUCUAACUUGUUUAUUUUGUCACUCUAUUCAUCUGUGUUUCCUCUUAUUUUCAAUUUUAUUCUUGCAUCACCAAUGAUUAUGAUAGGGUUUUUCGUAUUGUUUUGAUGAGAUUGAGAUGUUUGUUAGGAUUAUGAGGAUCUCACAAUAAUAAAGUUGGUGCUAAUGUAACACUAGAAAAAUGAUUGGGUUGGUUUCCUUUAAUACAUACGGUCUCAUUUUCAUUGUCUUGUAAUUAUUCUAUUUUCUUUUUUUCUUUUUCAUUUUCUUGUAAUUAUUCUUUUUUCUUUUUUUCUUUUUCAUUUUCUACUUAUAAUUAGUAUUUUAGCAUAUUUUUUAAGCUAUAUAACUUAUGUUAAUCGUUUAAUUAUCAGAAUAUAGAAGAUGACAUUUUAUGUUCUUUAGGAUAUAAGUAUAUAUUUAAUUAAUUUUGAUGUUCAAUACAUAUCUUUCUAAACUAGUUAAUGUCAAGGUUUGUUACUCAAUAAAUGUUUGAUUGAUUUAUAUAAUUGAGGAUUUACUUAAUAUAAUUAUUUAGCUUACAAUAUUUAAUAGAAAUCUCUGGUUCAUAAUCACUUUAUGAUUGUAUAAACAAAAUACAAAGGGUAAAAAAAUACGUACUGCUGAAAAAUUGUCAUAUUUUCCUUUUUUUUCUAUCUUUUAUGAGUAAUUUUCUUUCUUAUCUAUCAAAUGUACGGAACAAUUGAUUUCUGAUAUAGGUUAAUCUUUUGAAGGUUACACAUCUCUAACUUGUUUAUUUUGUCACUCUAUUCAUCUGUGUUUCCUCUUAUUUUCAAUUUUAUUCUUGCAUCACCAAUGAUUAUGAUAGGGUUUUUCGUAUUGUUUUGAUGAGAUUGAGAUGUUUGUUAGGAUUAUGAGGAUCUCACAAUAAUAAAGUUGGUGCUAAUGUAACACUAGAAAAAUGAUUGGGUUGGUUUCCUUUAAUACAUACGGUCUCAUUUUCAUUGUCUUGUAAUUAUUCUAUUUUCUUUUUUUCUUUUUCAUUUUCUUGUAAUUAUUCUUUUUUCUUUUUUUCUUUUUCAUUUUCUACUUAUAAUUAGUAUUUUAGCAUAUUUUUUAAUCUAUAUAACUUAUGUUAAUCGUUUAAUUAUCAGAAUAUAGAAGAUGACAUUUUAUGUUCUUUAGGAUAUAAGUAUAUAUUUAAUUAAUUUUGAUGUUCAAUACAUAUCUUUCUAAACUAGUUAAUGUCAAGGUUUGUUACUCAAUAAAUGUUUGAUUGAUUUAUAUAAUUGAGGAUUUACUUAAUAUAAUUAUUUAGCUUACAAUAUUUAAUAGAAAUCUCUGGUUCAUAAUCACUUUAUGAUUGUAUAAACAAAAUACAAAGGGUAAAAAAAUACGUACUGCUGAAAAAUUGUCAUAUUUUCCUUUUUUUUCUAUCUUUUAUGAGUAAUUUUCUUUCUUAUCUAUCAAAUGUACGGAACAAUUGAUUUCUGAUAUAGGUUAAUCUUUUGAAGGUUACACAUCUCUAACUUGUUUAUUUUGUCACUCUAUUCAUCUGUGUUUCCUCUUAUUUUCAAUUUUAUUCUUGCAUCACCAAUGAUUAUGAUAGGGUUUUUCGUAUUGUUUUGAUGAGAUUGAGAUGUUUGUUAGGAUUAUGAGGAUCUCACAAUAAUAAAGUUGGUGCUAAUGUAACACUAGAAAAAUGAUUGGGUUGGUUUCCUUUAAUACAUACGGUCUCAUUUUCAUUGUCUUGUAAUUAUUCUAUUUUCUUUUUUUCUUUUUCAUUUUCUUGUAAUUAUUCUUUUUUCUUUUUUUCUUUUUCAUUUUCUACUUAUAAUUAGUAUUUUAGCAUAUUUUUUAAUCUAUAUAACUUAUGUUAAUCGUUUAAUUAUCAGAAUAUAGAAGAUGACAUUUUAUGUUCUUUAGGAUAUAAGUAUAUAUUUAAUUAAUUUUGAUGUUCAAUACAUAUCUUUCUAAACUAGUUAAUGUCAAGGUUUGUUACUCAAUAAAUGUUUGAUUGAUUUAUAUAAUUGAGGAUUUACUUAAUAUAAUUAUUUAGCUUACAAUAUUUAAUAGAAAUCUCUGGUUCAUAAUCACUUUAUGAUUGUAUAAACAAAAUACAAAGGGUAAAAAAAUACGUACUGCUGAAAAAUUGUCAUAUUUUCCUUUUUUUUCUAUCUUUUAUGAGUAAUUUUCUUUCUUAUCUAUCAAAUGUACGGAACAAUUGAUUUCUGAUAUAGGUUAAUCUUUUGAAGGUUACACAUCUCUAACUUGUUUAUUUUGUCACUCUAUUCAUCUGUGUUUCCUCUUAUUUUCAAUUUUAUUCUUGCAUCACCAAUGAUUAUGAUAGGGUUUUUCGUAUUGUUUUGAUGAGAUUGAGAUUUUUGUUAGGAUUAUGAGGAUCUCACAAUAAUAAACGUGGUGCUAGUGUAACACUGGAAAACUUAUUUAGUUGGUUUCCUUUAUACCAUACGGUCUCAUUUAAAUUUGUUGUUAUUAUUCUAUUUCAUUUUUUUUAUUUUUUAUUUUCUUGUAAUUAUUCUAUUUUGUUUUUUUCUUUUUCAUUUUCUACAUAUAAUUAGUAUUUUAGCAAAUUUUUUAAUCUGUAUAACUUAUAUUAAUUGUUUAAUAUCACAAUAUAGAAGAUGACAUUUUAUGUUCUUAAGGAUAUAAGUAUAUAUUUAAUUAAUUUUGAUGUUCAAUACAUAUCUUUCUAAACUAAUUAAUGUCAAGGUUUGUUACUCACUAAAUGUUUGAAUGAUUUAUAUAAUUGAGGAUUUACUUAAUAUAAAUAUUUAGCCUACAAUAUUUAAUAAAAACCUCUGGUUCAUAAUCACUUUAUGAUUGUAUAAACAAAGUACAAAGGGUAAAAAAAUACGUACUGCUGAAAAAUUGUCAUUUUUUCCUUUUUUUUCUAUCUUUUAAGUGUAAUUUUCUUUCUUAUCUAUCAAAUGUACGGAACAAUUGAUUUCUGAUAUAGGUUAAUCUUUUGAAGGUUACACAUCUCUAACUUGUUUAUUUUGUCACUCUAUUCAUCUGUGUUUCCUCUUAUUUUCAAUUUUAUUCUUGCAUCACCAAUGAUUAUGAUAGGGUUUUUCGUAUUGUUUUGAUGAGAUUGAGGUGUUUGUUAGGAUUAUGAGGAUCUCACAAUAAUAAAGUUGGUGCUAAUGUAACACUAGAAAAAUGAUUGGGUUGGUUUCCUUUAAUACAUACGGUCUCAUUUUCAUUGUCUUGU